UACGGAGGAUGCGAGUGUUAUCCGGAUUUAUUGGGUUUAAAGGGUGCGUAGGCGGUCCGGAAAGUCAGCGGUAAAAGCCCGGGGCUCAACCCCGGCGAGCCGUUGAAACUGUCGGACUAGAGACGGCGAGAAGUACGCGGAAUGCGCGGUGUAGCGGUGAAAUGCAUAGAUAUCGCGCAGAACUCCGAUUGCGAAGGCAGCGUACCGGCGCCGGACUGACGCUGAGGCACGAAAGCGUGGGUAUCGAACAGG
RNAcentral lists this ribosomal RNA (252 nucleotides) under uncultured bacterium. RNAcentral describes it as "partial 16S ribosomal RNA". It matches the Rfam family "Bacterial small subunit ribosomal RNA", at positions 524 to 776 of the family's 1533-position model. The record is from RNAcentral.